This 520-nucleotide ribosomal RNA is filed under the name uncultured bacterium. Its description in RNAcentral is "bacterial SSU rRNA". It matches the Rfam family "Bacterial small subunit ribosomal RNA", at positions 8 to 523 of the family's 1533-position model. The record is from RNAcentral.
AGAGUUCGAUCCUGGCUCAGAUUGAACGCUGGCGGCAGGCCUAACACAUGCAAGUCGAGCGGAUGAGGGUAGCUUGCUACCUGAUUCAGCGGCGGACGGGUGAGUAAUGCCUAGGAAUCUGCCCGAUAGUGGGGGACAACGUUUCGAAAGGAACGCUAAUACCGCAUACGUCCUACGGGAGAAAGCAGGGGACCUUCGGGCCUUGCGCUAUCGGAUGAGCCUAGGUCGGAUUAGCUAGUUGGUGGGGUAAAGGCUCACCAAGGCGACGAUCCGUAACUGGUCUGAGAGGAUGAUCAGUCACACUGGAACUGAGACACGGUCCAGACUCCUACGGGAGGCAGCAGUGGGGAAUAUUGGACAAUGGGCGAAAGCCUGAUCCAGCCAUGCCGCGUGUGUGAAGAAGGUCUUCGGAUUGUAAAGCACUUUAAGCUGGGAGGAAGGGCAGUAAGUUAAUACCUUGCUGUUUUGACGUUACCAGCAGAAUAAGCACCGGCUAACUUCGUGCCAGCAGCCGCGGUAA